UACGAAAUUCAAUCAUUGGGUUAUACUUCUGCAUGAACGCAGUUGUUUGCUGAUAAUUAACUUUAGUUUUUCCACUUGCUUUCUACUAGAUAAUGUUUCUCGUGUGGGUAUGUUUCCUAAAUUACAAAUGAAAACAAGAGCAUUUUGUGCAAUAUGUAUGUCUUUUUUAGUCAAAAUUGUUCUAACUUAAGCUGGUUUCUGACCUACAUGUAAGUAUUUGAUUGCUACACUACUUUCUAGAAUUUGCAAACUUGAAAUGUAUGCUUUUUCAAUCAAAGUUUUUCUUUUUUUAUUCUUGCACAUAGUAAUUGCUGAAAAGAUUACCUAUAUGAUUACAAUGUUAAUGAAAUGCUUGGAAUGUUUAUUUUGUGUUUUGGGAUUGGUCGGAACGCUGUUUCCGGACACUCGGUGCCAAUAAAAAAAUUGUUUAUUUUGUGAGACUUGAAUAGAUUGACAAGUAAGUUAAACUAAAUGAAAGAUGGUCAAUUAUUGGAGAUGAUGGAGAAGAUCAAGCAUUACAAAUGCUGUGGCAUUUGACAAGUGAUCAGACAUUGGACCUUCACCAUUCUCUUCAUUGCUAGGUCACUAGAACUUUCUUUCUUUUUUUCUUGAUGGGCAAACAAGUUCUUAUUGAUCAAAAGAGUACACAAGAGCGCAAGUAUAUGGGACAUCUACAAGAGCAAUGCGUAAGCGUGCUAGUUUAGUGACACAAGGAAUUCAUGAAAAGUCAUGCCAUGAAAAUCAAUUACAAUCAACCAAUGGAGUAAAGUAUUAAAAAUUAAGUUUCUAAGCUCAUCUAUUGAUUAAUCUUGAUCUUCAAAGCUUCUUUCAUUCCUCAUGCUUCAAAUGAACUACUGUAGGCAUAUUGGGAACAUCGAGAGUUGCCUCGAAUGCCUCUCCAAGAAGUGAGGAGAUCGCUUACCCUUCUUGGCAUCACUCAAGCUAGUCCCAACCGAACAAAAACUUCAUUCCACAAAGUCAUGGCAAUCUCACAUUGAAGUAGUAGAUGGUCAACGGACUAUCCGCUCUUCUUGCAUAUACAACACCAAUCCAUGACUACGAUUCGAUGUUUCCUCAAGUUGUCUAGAGUGAGGAUCUUCCCCAAAGAGGCCGUCCAUAUAAAAAAUGCUUCCUUUAGGGUGCCUGGUUGCUGAACUUUCAUUUCAUUCUAGUUAGAGAUAUGUGAUUUGGAAGUAAUGUAGGUUGGUUAACAAAAAGCUUGUGUCCAAUCAUACAUGGAAACCAAGGAACUAAAAAGUACAAAAGGCUUGAUUUUCUUCUCACUCAACUCUUGAUGAGUAAGACCUGUCUCAGUGAUAUGUCAAUGCUUGCACUCAAUAACACCAUUAUCCUCUAAAGUAUAAGGCCAGGGGAAGUUUUUCAAUGGGGGUUUUUUGUUUCCAGGGAUGAACCAGCGAGCCUUCUAAUCUGGAUACGCCAACCAAAAGACUAUUCCAUAACUGAUUCUUGUUGCCUAAUCAAGUGUGCUUGGCUUGCAGGAAAUGUUUUCUCAUAUUAAAAUGUGGUUGAAAUUUAGAAGUUAAAGUAAGAAAUCUUUCGUAGAGCCAAAAAGGAAAAAAAUGGUCCCUUGUUUUAGGCAAUGGCAGUACCCAACCAACUAUAGUUGGAUGCUAUAUAUAACAGAGAUGUAAUCUUGGCUUGUUUGAUGUAAUGUAUUGCUAUAGUCAUGAUCAACAUACUGUGAAUGGUAUUUUUUUUAGCAUUAAGAAAGACUAGUGUUGAAUUUUUGGUGGCUAGCUUUGAAGCUGGGUAGUGAAUAGAAAAGUCCUGAAAAGAAGUGAGGCAAUUGGUUGAGGUCAAAUAUAGGAUCAUAAUUGCAUAGACAAGUAGAGCAUUGAGAAUGUGUUUAAGAGGAGAAAGGUGAGUUCACAAGUGCAUUUCGUAGUUAAAGGGAUCAGUAUUUUGCUAAUGGCGCAUAAGUUUAAUAUUAUGCCAAAAUUGUUCUGGCAUCCUACCCCUCAUUAAGAUGACAUUUGGAGCUAGCUGGUGUGUGGAAAAAAUCAUGAUUAUAGGUUGGCGUACUUGUUAAAUAUUUGUAGGUUUGCUUUAUAGGUCAUAGUAGAAGUGUUCUUGUUUUUUUAUAAUAAAUGCAGGUGGCUUUGUGAUUUCUUAUGGGCACAAGAAGCAGAAUUUUAGGUGCUUGAAGUGUUGUAUGAUCAUUGCUGCUAUAGAUUGAUGUACAAAACAUAACUACUUUUCUCAUUAGGGGGUGAUCCUUAGCCUAUUAAUUGUUUUCCAGGCCAUAUCUAUGUCGGUGUUAUCAUUAUCAAUAUGUAUCAUGUCAUGCCUCUUGGCAGGACUUGCAUAAAUACUAGAAACUUUGUAACAGGAUGUACCUUGCCUGAGAAAACUGCAUUUUUUGAUGAUCUUAAAGUUUUCUCUUGGAUUAUUCUUUUAAAUUGUAUAUGUCCAACUGAUUGACUAAUUGGAAGCCAUCCUUGAGAGGUACCUCAAAAGGUGCGUGCAUACCCGAAACUUUUAUUUUUUUGCUAGUUACCGUAAACUAGCAUUUUAAAGCAACAUUAUCAAUACCCAGUUCUUGCCCAUUUUUCAAUGGCUUAAUUGGAAAAUAUGGAUAUUUAUUCACGAAGCCUGAGGUUCUAAAAGCUUUUCAUUGAAUCAGUUGUUAAGAGAAGAAGAGUUUUUACUGUCCUUCAUAAAUGAAUUUACUGAAAUAUGAGAGAUUGUUGCUGUUCUAUUGAACACACACACACACGAGAAAUGUUAUAACCACAAAGAGAUCCCACAAAAAUAAACUCACACGUUGACGUAGCUUCAAAUUAUAUGUUAGAUCUACCUUACAAUAAAAGUAGCAUUACAAUCUAGUGUACAACAUCAAGCCAAGUCAGUUUGUCAAUUUACUUUUGUGAGAUCUCUUUGUAGCUGAAACAUCUCUCUCUCUCUCUCUCUCUCUCUCUCUAUAUAUAUAUAUAUAUAUAUAUCAGGUCUUGUUGCUACAACAUCUCUGCUUGCGGAAAUCAUAACAUGUAAUAGGCACUUAUCCCUUCUGCGUUUGUCAAAGUGGGUGGCGAUUUCCUGAAUCUUGGCUUGAAGGUCUAGUUGACAUCAUGCUUAAAAAAAAUCAGUGGAACUAGAACUUUUCAUCCAUUGUUUUGAGAUAAUAUUUUGGGCUCAAGCUUUCAAAAAAUAUAUAUUUUUUGGGCUUGAAGGUUUACUUGAUAUAUUUAAUCUUUCUUGCCGAUAUAUUGUUGAGACUUCUCUCUUGGUAAUAACAAUCUUAACCUAGAAGUAUGGAGGGUGAUUUUUUUUUCAGUGUUUAGUCUGUUGUUUUUUGGAUGUAUAUGUUUGGAUGGUUUUGGAGUGUAAGAGUCUUGGUGAUAAAACUCAUGCCUUAAAGUGAGUGCAUGGUUUAUAAAGAUCACUUUGCAGCAAUUAGUUUUUGAUGUGUAUGGUGUUGGAGAUCUUAUGUAUGAGCAGUUUUUGAUGUAGUUUAUACUGAAUAUCCACUGUGAAUGAUAUAUCUACCACCUUAUAUCCUUUAGCAUUUUCAUCAUCUAUACAAGAUUCUUUGUUAUUAUAGAGGAGGAUAUCCCCUGCCUUCAGGAUUGUUUGAGUUUUGGUAAAUAAUAAUGUGCCUAUUGGGUGCUGCUAGUGUGCAGCCCUGCUUUGACCGCUCGGCGUGUCCACUAGUACAAAUUUCACAUUUUAAUUUUUUCUUUCAUAUUUUUUAACCAUUUUUAAA
Molecule: long non-coding RNA, 3724 nt
Organism: Carya illinoinensis
Lineage: Eukaryota; Viridiplantae; Streptophyta; Magnoliopsida; Fagales; Juglandaceae
Exons: 2
Source: RefSeq, a predicted model, not a curated record